CCCUGAGGGCCAGGGCCAGGUAGGGGGCGGGAGAAGAAGGGGAAGGAGGAGUUCCAGGCUCAGCCUCUGAUGCCACAGUCUCCACGGCAACUCCCCCAGGCCAAGCCAACCGACAAUAGGCUGCUCUCCCAGGGGUGCUGCUGCUGCUGCUGCUGCUUGCUGGGCCGCCGCUGCUGCUGCUGCUGCUAAGACGGUUUGAAUCCCUCCUAGAGCCUAGGUUCUAAUGGCCUUUGGGCGCAGGCACAGUGUGAAGCCGUUCUGAAUGACUAGCACCAAGGUCAGGGAGAGCUCGCCCAAGGAGACUGCAGGGCUAGGCAUGGAGCACCUCUUUGUGGAGGAGGUGGCGGCGUCUCUGGUCCGGGAAUUUCUCAACAGAAAGGGCUUAAAAAAAACGAGCCUUGUCAUGGACCAAGAGCAUCCUCGAGGUGAACACAGUAUAAACAACAGGAAUGAGCUGCGGAAGGUUCUGCAUCUAGAGAUGCUCUAUAAGGAAAACAAGG
Vombatus ursinus (common wombat) is the source of this 500-nucleotide long non-coding RNA. RefSeq lists it as uncharacterized. The record is from RefSeq and is a predicted model, not a curated record. The transcript is spliced from 2 exons. Lineage: Eukaryota; Metazoa; Chordata; Mammalia; Diprotodontia; Vombatidae.